RNA transcript from Loxodonta africana (African savanna elephant), 4403 nucleotides. It is a transcript of the gene named exocyst complex component 5, with no coding region annotated. The record is from RefSeq and is a predicted model, not a curated record. NCBI's taxonomy places the organism in Eukaryota, Metazoa, Chordata, Mammalia, Proboscidea, Elephantidae. The transcript is spliced from 19 exons.
GGCUCUGUGGGAAGUAGGGGAGCCAGCGGCGGCUUGAAGCCGGAGCUGGCGAGCCAAGCGGGGACCUGGGCGCGGCGCCGCUGAGGCGCAGCAUGUGAAAAAGGGACGGCAUCCAGAGCGGGGCGAGCGUCUCAGCCGGCCGGGAUGGCUACGGCGGCCGAGCUCUUCGAGGAGCCUUUUGUGGCAGAUGAGUAUAUUGAACGUCUUGUAUGGAGAACCCCAGGAGGAGGCUCUAGAGGGGGAGCUGAAGCUUUUGAUCCUAAAAGAUUAUUAGAAGAAUUCAUAAAUCAUAUUCAAGAACUCCAAAUAAUGGAUGAAAAGAUUCAAAGGAAAGUAGAGAAACUAGAACAACAGUGUCAGAAGGAAGCCAAGGAAUUUGCUAAGAAGGUACAGGAGCUCCAGAAAAGCAAUCAGGUUGCCUUCCAACAUUUUCAAGAACUAGAUGAGCACAUCAGCUACGUAGCAACCAAGGUCUGUCACCUUGGAGACCAGUUGGAGGGGGUAAACACACCCAGACAGCGGGCAGUGGAGGCUCAGAAAUUGAUGAAAUACUUUAAUGAGUUUCUAGAUGGAGAAUUGAAAUCUGAUGUUUUUACAAAUUCUGAAAAGAUAAAGGAAGCAGCAGACAUCAUUCAGAAGUUGCACCUAAUUGCCCAGGAGUUACCUUUUGAUAGAUUUUCAGAAGUAAAAUCCAAAAUCGCAAGUAAGUACCAUGAUUUAGAAUGCCAGCUGAUUCAGGAGUUUACCAGUGCUCAAAGAAGAGGUGAGAUCUCCAGAAUGAGAGAAGUAGCAGCAGUUUUACUUCAUUUUAAGGGUUAUUCCCAUUGUGUUGAUGUUUAUAUAAAGCAGUGCCAGGAGGGUGCCUACUUGAGAAAUGAUAUAUUUGAAGAUGCAGCAAUACUCUGUCAACGAGUAAACAAACAAGUUGGCGAUAUCUUUAGUAAUCCAGAAACAGUACUGGCUAAACUCAUUCAAAAUGUAUUUGAAAUCAAGCUACAGAGUUUUGUGAAAGACCAGUUAGAAGAAUGUAAAAAGUUCGAUGCGGAGCAGUAUCUCAAAAAUCUAUAUGAUCUGUAUACAAGAACCACCAAUCUUUCCAGCAAGUUGAUGGAGUUUAACUUAGGUACUGAUAAACAGACUUUCUUGUCUAAGCUUAUCAAAUCCAUUUUCAUUUCCUAUUUGGAGAACUACAUUGAGGUGGAGACUGGUUAUUUGAAAAGCAGAAGUGCUAUGAUCCUGCAGCGCUAUUAUGAUUCAAAAAACCAUCAAAAGAGAUCCAUUGGCACGGGAGGUAUUCAAGAUUUGAAAGAAAGAAUUCGACAGCGUACCAACUUACCACUGGGGCCAAGUAUUGAUACUCAUGGGGAAACUUUCCUGUCCCAAGAAGUUGUGGUUAAUCUUUUACAAGAAACCAAACAAGCCUUUGAAAGAUGUCAUAGGCUUUCUGAUCCUUCUGAUUUACCAAGGAAUGCCUUUAGAGUUUUUACCAUUCUUGUGGAAUUUUUAUGUAUUGAGCAUAUUGAUUAUGCUUUGGAAACAGGACUUGCUGGAAUUCCUUCUUCAGAUUCUAAGAAUGCAAAUCUCUAUUUUUUGGAUGUUGUACAACAGGCCAAUACUAUUUUUCAUCUUUUUGACAAGCAAUUUAAUGAUCACCUCAUGCCACUAAUAAGCUCUUCUCCUAAGUUAUCAGAAUGCCUUCAGAAGAAAAAAGAAAUAAUUGAACAAAUGGAGAUGAAAUUGGAUACUGGCAUUGAUAGGACAUUGAAUUGUAUGAUUGGACAGAUGAAGCAUAUCUUGGCUGCAGAACAAAAGAAAACAGAUUUUAAGCCAGAGGAUGAAAACAAUGUUUUGAUUCAGUAUACUAAUGCCUGUGUAAAAGUCUGUGCUUAUGUAAGAAAACAAGUGGAAAAGAUUAAAAAUUCCAUGGAUGGCAAGAAUGUGGAUACAGUUUUGAUGGAACUUGGAGUACGUUUUCAUCGACUUAUUUAUGAGCAUCUUCAACAAUAUUCUUACAGUUGUAUGGGUGGCAUGUUAGCAAUUUGUGAUGUAGCUGAGUACAGGAAAUGUGCCAAAGACUUCAAGAUUCCACUGGUAUUACAGCUUUUUGAUACUCUGCAUGCACUUUGCAACCUUCUGGUAGUUGCCCCAGAUAAUUUAAAGCAAGUCUGCUCAGGAGAACAACUUGCUAAUCUGGACAAGAACAUCCUUCACUCCUUCGUACAACUUCGUGCUGACUAUAGAUCUGCCCGCCUUGCUCGACAUUUCAGCUGAGAUUGAAUUUGCAAGGGAAACAUGUUGUACUUUGGCAGGCCUCAGCUGAUAGAAAGCACAGGAGAUCCUUUGUGACGCAGCCAACAUUUUAUGGAAUAAUGCCUCUCUGGAAGAAAACAGCAGCCAUACUCACUCUUGAGAUUUUAUUUGAGAUUUGGACACCACUAGCCAUGUUUCAUUUUUCCCCUUAAGUUCAAUUUUUGUCACAUUCUUGAACUUAAAACUUUCAAAUUCUGUGAAACUACAUGUCACUGUUUUCAUCCUGGAAAAUGUUGGUGUCAGAAGUAAAACCUGCAAAAGCCAGAACCUGUGUAAGGCAGAAGGAGACCUGUCAGAGAAGAAAAACUCAAAUAUUUUUCACUAAGCCGAGCAAUAAAAAAGUGGUAAGACUACCCUGUCAAAGGUGGAAAACUUGCAAUACCCCGGAAAAUAAGGCAGUCCUAUCGAGUGCUGGCUCUAAGGUUUUCCUGUGUUAUUCUCCAAUAGAAUGUGUUUUUCAAUUUUUGCCACAAGGGGGAGAAGUUAUUUUUAUAGUAUUAUCUACAUUUUUGUUUGAUAGGUCGCUAUGAGUCGGAAUCGACUCGACGGCAGUGGGUUUGGGGUUUAUUAAAAAUAGAAUUCAUAUAGCUUCUUUCUGCUGAAGAAAACCCUACCUAUGAACAUGUCAGUAUCCUGAUUAAUAGAGUGCAUGUGUGUGUAUUCAAAUCAGAUUCUAAAAGAUGUGUGAGAAAAAUUUGUGGGAGAAUUAAUGACCAAACUAAAAGUUCUGAAGAAUGCAUAUAUGCACAGUGGCUAUAGGAGCUGCACUAAGUUCAUCAUAAUUAAAAUUAUGCUUUUUAACAUGAUUUCUCUCAUCUAAUUCCUCUAUCAACUCUUUGAGUUAAAACAUAUGAACUUAAUUGGUUUUCUGCAUUCUGCUUUUUUAAAGAAAAAAUUUUAAACCAUCUCGAACUUAAAGGUUGUAAAUAUUGUACAAAUAAAUGUUUUCCCCUUUGAGAGUAAGUUGUUGCUGUCAUGAUGACUUAUCACCCUCCAAUACUUUUGUAUUUCCUACAAAGAAGGACAUUCUCCUAUGUAACAGUAAUACAACCAUCAAAAUCAGGAUCUUAACAUUGAUAUAUUACCACCGUGUAAUCCUCAGACCCCAUUCGAGUCUCACCAAUUAUCCCAAUAAUGUUUAUAAGAAUCCAGUUCAGAAUUUUGUGUUGCCUUAAGUUAUAGUGCCUGUUGCUUUUACUUUGGAAUAGUUUCUCAGUCCUUCCUUCACUUUCAUGGCACUUUUGUAGAUUAUAAGCCAGUUAUUUUGUAAAAUGUCCCUAAAUUUGGAUUUAUCUGUUUCCUCAUGAUUAGAUUCAGGUUGUGCUUCUUUGUCAGGAAUAUUACAGACACUGUUCUAUAUUCUCAUGGCAUCCUAUCAGGGGGAGCACCAUUUCACUUUGUCCCACUUCUGAUGAUACUCAUAUUGAUCACUUGCUUAAGGUACUACCUGUCAAGUCUCUCCACAGGAAAGUUACCAUUUUCCCCUUUGUAAUUAUGUAUUUUGUAGGGAGACAAUUUGAAGCUAUGUGUAUAUAUUCUGUGUCUAAUCAGAUCUUCAAUUUUUUAUAAAUAUUGGCAAGAAUUUAUGGCUUACUAUUCAAUGGACUAUAAUUUGUUAUUUAUUUUGAACCUGGAAUUGUCCCAGAGUUAGCCAGUAGGAGCCCUUUCAAGUGGCUCCUGUGACCUUUUGACUUGUCUCCAUUAUUCUGUAUUGUACUUUCUUACUUUCUGGCACUAUAGGAUUUUCCAUGUUUAUCUUGUACUUGGCUUGCCCAACUCUAGAAUCAGCCAUUCCUCCAACUUUGAGUGGAAAUUGAUAGUUAGAGACCAAGAUUUGGUCAUGAGAAGUGUUUAUUAUGAUUGGAUGUCACUGCUCCCACUCUCAGUGAGCAGUGCUGGGGGAUUUAUGUAUAUGUGUGUGUGUGUGUGUGUAUACACACAUAAAAUACACACAUUUUAAGUAUACACACGUGUGUGUGUGUAAUAAGGAGCCCUGGUGGUGCAGUGGUUAAAGUGCUAGGCUGCUAACAAAACAAUGGCAAUUCAAACCCACAGCUGCUCCGCAGAAGAAAGAUGUGGCAGUCUGCUUCUGU